GUAGGUGGCAAGCGUUGUCCGGAAUUAUUGGGCGUAAAGCGCGCGCAGGCGGUCCUUUAAGUCUGAUGUGAAAGCCCACGGCUCAACCGUGGAGGGUCAUUGGAAACUGGGGGACUUGAGUACAGAAGAGGAAAGCGGAAUUCCAAGUGUAGCGGUGGAAUGCGUAGAGAUUUGGAGGAACACCAGUGGCGAAGGCGGCUUUCUGGUCUGUAACUGACGCUGAGGCGCGAAAGCGUGGGGAGCAAACAGGGAUUAGAUACCCUGGUAGUCCACGCCGUAAACGAUGAGUGCUAAGUGUUAGGGGGGUUUCCGCCCCCUUAGUGCUGCAGCUAACGCAUUAAGCACUCCGCCUGGGGAUACGGCCGCAAGGCUG
Molecule: ribosomal RNA, 373 nt
Filed under: uncultured organism
Description: partial 16S ribosomal RNA
Rfam family: Bacterial small subunit ribosomal RNA
Source: RNAcentral